Zalophus californianus (California sea lion) is the source of this 1270-nucleotide RNA transcript. It is a transcript of the gene named glycoprotein-N-acetylgalactosamine 3-beta-galactosyltransferase 1-like, with no coding region annotated. The transcript is spliced from 2 exons. The record is from RefSeq and is a predicted model, not a curated record. Lineage: Eukaryota; Metazoa; Chordata; Mammalia; Carnivora; Otariidae.
GCCGCGGCUGAUGUCAGAAAUACACUUUCGGGAAAUGGCCUCUAAAUCUUGGCUGAAUUUUUUAACCUUCCUUUGUGGAUCAGCAAUUGGAUUUGUUUUAUGUUCUCAGCUAUUUAGUAUUUUGUUGGGAGAACAGGGUGAUACCCAGCCUAAUAUUCUGCAUAAUGAUCCUCACGCUAGGCACUCAGAUGAUAAUGGACAAAAUCAUCUAGAAGGACAGAUGAACUUCAAUGCAGAUUCUAGCCAACAUAAAGAUGAGAACACAGACAUCGCUGAAAACCUCUAUCAAAAGGUUAAAAUUCUUUGCUGAGUUAUGGCAGGGCCUCAAAAUCUAGAGAAAAAGGCCAAACACGUCAAAGCUACAUGGGCCCAGCGUUGUAAUAAAGUGUUGUUUAUGAGUUCAGAAGAAAAUAAAGACUUCCCUGCCGUGGGAUUAAAAACCAGAGAAGGCAGAGACCAACUAUACUGGAAAACAAUUAAAGCUUUUCAGUAUGUUCAGGAUCAUUAUUUAGAAGAUGCUGAUUGGUUUAUGAAAGCAGAUGAUGAUACAUAUGUUAUACUGGGUACUUUGAGAUGGCUACUCUCAAAAUACAACCCUGAAGAACCCAUUUACUUUGGGAGAAGAUUUAAGCCCGAUGUAAAGCAGGGUUACGUGAGUGGAGGAGCAGGGUAUGUACUGAGCAAAGAAGCCUUGAAGAGAUUUGUGAUGCAUUUAAAACAGACAAAUGUACACAUAGUUCCUCCAUCGAAGACUUAGCAUUGGGCAAAUGCAUGGAAAUUAUAAAUGUAGAAGCAGGAGAUUCCAGAGAUACCGUUGGAAAAGAAACUUUUCAUCCCUUUGUACCAGAACACUACUUAAUCAGGGGUUAUCUACCUAGAACCUUUUGGUAUUGGAAUUAUAACUAUUAUCCUCCUGUAGAGGGUCCUGGUUGCUGUUCUGAUCUUGCAGUUUCUUUUCACUAUGUUGAUCCUACAACUAUGUAUGAGUUAGAAUACCUCGUUUAUCAUCUUCGUCCAUAUGGUUAUUUAUACAGAUAUCAACCUGCCUUACCUGGGAAUAUACUAAAAGAAAGAAGUCGAGCAUACAAAAAUGAAGACCCAAAAGUAAAAUGAGAACUCUUGAAAGAAAAAACAUAAAUGAAGAGGAUGACUUCUACAGCUGUUCCAAUUGGAGUUAACAAGGAUAUUAUUUGUUCUCACAUCUGAAGGGUUCAAAAAAAUCAGACAAAAUAGAUAGAGCAACAGUUUUGAAAAAAAAAUUAGAUAUCAG